ACUUAGGUGCUCAGUUCCAUUGUCUUUUUCUCAACAUGUUUAUAUGGAGUUGAACCCUAUUCUUUACAUGUUAUAUGACUUAAUUUGAAGUUGUAUUACGUGUUUGGCAAUUUAUUAUUGAAUCAAUUGAAUAGGUGUAUAGACUAAAUAGUCUUCGAAUAAUUCCGGAGUCGAAAGGGCCUUAUUUUAAAGCCAAAAUUUCAAAAGGGAAAAUGAAUUAUCAAUUAACCAAAAGGUACAAAGUGUUGUAUUCUCAGCAACAAACAAAUUCUAUUGACGACUUACCUAAACAACAAUUUAUUAAUUCGUCGGGCAAAUUCCUACGACAUAAAAAUUUUAUUUUCUUCUCAGUCGUUCUAUGCCAACUUCCAAUUUUUUUUGUUAAUUUUUAGUGUUGUCAACCAACACAACAAGGUACUUUUUAGUCAUUCUGUGAUUCUUCUAUUUGGUAGUCCUGCAAAGGCUCAUGCCUCACCUGAAUAUAUAAGAUCUUCAAUUCAUGUCGUCCAGUUUUCUGUCACCUACAAUUGAAAUCCUAUUGUUUGCAACAACUACGCUCUUAUAUGUAAGAAGAACACUCAAAAAGAUCAAAGCAAUUAGACAUGUAUUCUUUACCUGUUCGGCAAUUAUUCUGUCAUUGGACGUCAUGUCAAUGUAAGUAUGUUACAUGAAACAAAAAAAAUUCUCUCAUUACAAAGAAAGACCUAUAUAUUCUGCCUAUCAUAUAAUAUUUAUACUUAUUUUACAAGCACACUGUAGUACAUUAAAGUAACUACUUCAUAACAAUACCCCUCGUACAUUUUGUUGGAAUGACUAAUCACAAUAGAUCGAG
This 832-nucleotide long non-coding RNA is filed under the name Solanum tuberosum (potato). RNAcentral describes it as "long non-coding RNA (STUB_LNC011482)". The record is from RNAcentral. Lineage: Eukaryota; Viridiplantae; Streptophyta; Magnoliopsida; Solanales; Solanaceae.